Molecule: ribosomal RNA, 385 nt
Filed under: Salmonella enterica subsp. enterica serovar Amsterdam
Lineage: Bacteria; Pseudomonadati; Pseudomonadota; Gammaproteobacteria; Enterobacterales; Enterobacteriaceae
Description: bacterial SSU rRNA
Rfam family: Bacterial small subunit ribosomal RNA
Source: RNAcentral
AGCUUGCUGCUUCGCUGACGAGUGGCGGACGGGUGAGUAAUGUCUGGGAAACUGCCUGAUGGAGGGGGAUAACUACUGGAAACGGUGGCUAAUACCGCAUAACGUCGCAAGACCAAAGAGGGGGACCUUCGGGCCUCUUGCCAUCAGAUGUGCCCAGAUGGGAUUAGCUUGUUGGUGAGGUAACGGCUCACCAAGGCGACGAUCCCUAGCUGGUCUGAGAGGAUGACCAGCCACACUGGAACUGAGACACGGUCCAGACUCCUACGGGAGGCAGCAGUGGGGAAUAUUGCACAAUGGGCGCAGCCUGAUGCACCAUGCCGCGUGUAUGAAGAGCCUUCGGUGUAAAGUACUUUCGCGGGGAGGAAGGGUUGUGGUAAUAACCGCA